GAUGAACGCUAGCUACAGGCUUAACACAUGCAAGUCGAGGGGCAGCAUGGUCUAGCUUGCUAAGGCCGAUGGCGACCGGCGCACGGGUGAGUAACACGUAUCCAACCUGCCGUCUACUCUUGGACAGCCUUCUGAAAGGAAGAUUAAUACAAGAUGGCAUCAUGAGUCCGCAUGUUCACAUGAUUAAAGGUAUUCCGGUAGACGAUGGGGAUGCGUUCCAUUAGAUAGUAGGCGGGGUAACGGCCCACCUAGUCUUCGAUGGAUAGGGGUUCUGAGAGGAAGGUCCCCCACAUUGGAACUGAGACACGGUCCAAACUCCUACGGCAGGCAGCAGUGAGGAAUAAUGGUCAAUGGGCGAGAGCCUGAACCAGCCAAGUAGCAUGAAGGAUGACUGCCCUAUGGGUUGUAAACUUCUUUUAUAAAGGAAUAAAGUCGGGUAUGGAUACCCGUUUGCAUGUACUUUAUGAAUAAGGAUCGGCUAACUCCGU
Molecule: ribosomal RNA, 488 nt
Filed under: uncultured bacterium
Lineage: Bacteria
Description: partial 16S ribosomal RNA
Rfam family: Bacterial small subunit ribosomal RNA
Source: RNAcentral